This 1292-nucleotide long non-coding RNA is filed under the name Brassica rapa (field mustard). Its description in RNAcentral is "long non-coding RNA (BRAP_LNC002068)". Lineage: Eukaryota; Viridiplantae; Streptophyta; Magnoliopsida; Brassicales; Brassicaceae. The record is from RNAcentral.
GGAGAUUUAUGGUAAAUAAAAUUUUUGGGUAAAAUAUUAAAUAAAUUAUUGUGAGAGUUAUUAUUUAUUAACUUACAUACUUAAUUUGAGGGGUUUUAUUCGAAAUAAUUUUUUUUUACAUCGUAAAGGUACACAAGAUUUUUUUUUGUCAACAGUUUGUUUUAUUAAAACAACAUCCCAAAGGUCAAGGAUACAAACAUUAUCACUACAUAUUAAUCUCAACUUGAAGCCCAUAUUUUACAGAUAAUUACAAUCAUAUGAGUGACACGUGGUCUCUCUAUGUGGCUUCCACACCUUAGUCGAGGAAGGAAAGAGCGAAGCCGGAACCAACUCGCUGGAAUGCCGAUCAUCUCCAUCUCCGACAUACUUGAGGCUGAUUGCAUGUUCUUCAACCUUGAAUCACCGCCGAUCUCGAAAUCUUCUUCUCCAAUUAUUAGGAUUGAGCACUGUGAAAAACUUUGAGAGAGCCAAACUUCGAAUCUUGUCGGAACACUGACCCUUAUGGUAGCUCAGAAUCUUUUGGAUUCUGACUUGAACUCGAAAGCAUGAUCCAAAACUCAAGACUUGAUCUUCGUGGAGACUUCGCACAAACACGAGCCAAAGCUUUAUACCACCUUCCAAUCAAGGACUAAGCUUAUCUAACGAAGAGGAAAACAAAACCAUCUCGACCAAACAGAAUAAGGUUAUACGCAGAAGGAGAAGAACUAGGACAUAACUAUAUUUAUACUCAAUUCAUAUCGGAAGAGGAUAAAAUUGAUAAUCGAUUCCGAUUUGAUUGAAUUUUACACUUCAAAAAACUCGCCAACGCGAAAGUAUAAAAUCGAUUGAAGAUCAACCGUAGUUAUUUUACAUCAAAAGAUAAGAAAACAUGAUGGUAACCGGCGGUAAGCCACCGAUCACCAGAAAUAGUUUCAUGAUUUCAAAACUUCUAGAAAGAUAUGAAGCGUCUAGAGAGAAAGGGUUGGAAUAUCUUCUUUUGGUACAUGAGAUUAUUUAUUAUUUGAAAUAAAUUUAGUUGGGAGUUUUCAGCUUUAAAAUUAAAAUAAUUAGUUGGAACAUUGAAGUCAUAAACAUCACAUAACUGAUGUGGGAGUAAUGAGGAACAAAAAGAAUUAAAAAAAAGAGAAAGAAAUAUAAAGAAAUGAAAAGAAAAAAAAUAAAAAUAAUUAAAAAUAGUUAAGACAAAAGAAAAUCUUUCAACCUUAAAAUGGCUGAUCGUGUCGAGACGGCAGCAGCACACUUGUCGUCCUUCCCAGAAGCUUCUCCGGUGUUUUCGCAGUCGCAAAUCUAAA